This 497-nucleotide ribosomal RNA is filed under the name uncultured bacterium. RNAcentral describes it as "partial 16S ribosomal RNA". It matches the Rfam family "Bacterial small subunit ribosomal RNA", at positions 28 to 507 of the family's 1533-position model. The record is from RNAcentral.
GAUGAACGCUGGCGGCGUGCCUAAUACAUGCAAGUCGAGCGAACGGACGAGAAGCUUGCUUCUCUGAUGUUAGCGGCGGACGGGUGAGUAACACGUGGAUAACCUACCUAUAAGACUGGGAUAACUUCGGGAAACCGGAGCUAAUACCGGAUAAUAUUUUGAACCGCAUGGUUCAAAAGUGAAAGACGGUCUUGCUGUCACUUAUAGAUGGAUCCGCGCUGCAUUAGCUAGUUGGUAAGGUAACGGCUUACCAAGGCAACGAUGCAUAGCCGACCUGAGAGGGUGAUCGGCCACACUGGAACUGAGACACGGUCCAGACUCCUACGGGAGGCAGCAGUAGGGAAUCUUCCGCAAAGGGCGAAAGCCUGACGGAGCAACGCCGCGUGAGUGAUGAAGGUCUUCGGAUCGUAAAACUCUGUUAUUAGGGAAGAACAUAUGUGUAAGUGACUGUGCACAUCUUGACGGUACCUAAUCAGAAAGCCACGGCUAACUACGUG